GGUUCCAUAGUGUAGCGGUUAGCACGUCUGCUUUACACUCAGAAGAUCCUGGGUUCACGCCCCAGUGGAGCCA
This 73-nucleotide transfer RNA is filed under the name Pteropus alecto (black flying fox). It matches the Rfam family "tRNA". From Rfam's summary of the family: Transfer RNA (tRNA) molecules are approximately 80 nucleotides in length. RNAcentral also lists the same sequence under 1 other name. The record is from Rfam by way of RNAcentral. Lineage: Eukaryota; Metazoa; Chordata; Mammalia; Chiroptera; Pteropodidae.